This 401-nucleotide long non-coding RNA is filed under the name Bos taurus (domestic cattle). RNAcentral's name for it is "long non-coding RNA NONBTAT014849". The record is from RNAcentral. Lineage: Eukaryota; Metazoa; Chordata; Mammalia; Artiodactyla; Bovidae.
AAGGCCAUGGAAUUGAGUUGGCUGGAACAGAGGAUUAGACUGAAGGAAUAAUAGUCAAUACAGUUGGAAGAGCAAAAUUGCAUUUACAUCUUGAUUUGUAGAGUGCAGAUAAUGCCAUCCAAGGGAUUUCACAUUUCAUUCUCAGGAUUUCAAGAUCUCAGCAAAGUUUGGCUGAAAAAUUGUACUUGAAGUAGAAUCCUUUGACAGCACUGUAUUACCUAAACUGAACAAAACUGCAAUAAGUAGAGGAAAUCAGAACAGUACCGAAACAAGAUACUAAAAAGAACAACUAGUGGAUGGUUAGAUACCUAGAAAUAUCUGUCUUAUUUUCUGUUUGUUUUCUACCAUUUUUUUUAUUAUUUCAAGUUUAUGGUUGGGUAACUAGUCAAGAUAAUAAGUGU